This is a long non-coding RNA of Carassius auratus (goldfish), 608 nucleotides long. RefSeq lists it as uncharacterized. The record is from RefSeq and is a predicted model, not a curated record. The transcript has 3 exons. NCBI's taxonomy places the organism in Eukaryota, Metazoa, Chordata, Actinopteri, Cypriniformes, Cyprinidae.
UGGCUGUGAGAGACAACGGGACAGAUGAGACACACAUGUGUUUAUCUGCUGUAGAGUAACUGAUGAAGUAAUGCUACCAUCAAAGGAUUUGUGUAGUCGUGCUCAUGGGGUGCAGGCACACGAAAGUUUGGAGCAGACACAGCAGUCAGAUUGUCCUGCACGUGUUCCCCUGCUCUAGCUUCAAGGUUGUGUGGUUCAGAGAGCCGUCAUCAAGAUCUUCCUCAUCCUGUUGUUUAACGACAUCCCCAUUGAGAAGAGUGAGAUUGUGAAGUGCAGCGGCAGAACUGUAUCAGCUGUGUUCAGAUGGCAGGAGGAUGUUGGGUUCACCAUCUGUAAAUACUUGAUUGUUAGAACAAUAAGUUUGAAUGAAGCUUUGUAUCAUGUGUUGUUGACUUUAGAGUAUCAAAUUAACAGUCUUCUCCAAAGAUGAGAUCUUCAAGCAGCUGAUCGAAGUACCCUUUGUGCAGAUAUUGCAGAGUCGCUGUGAGGUGUUUGUGCACCUGACCCACUUUUUAAUUAUAAUUGCCAAAUUAUUACAUAAAAGAUCAUGGUAAGAGGUUGUAUCUGAUAAUAAACAAUCAUAAUGCCAUAAAACAGUAAAUAAAAAA